Long non-coding RNA from Ruditapes philippinarum (Manila clam), 437 nucleotides. RefSeq lists it as uncharacterized. Lineage: Eukaryota; Metazoa; Mollusca; Bivalvia; Venerida; Veneridae. The record is from RefSeq and is a predicted model, not a curated record. The transcript is spliced from 4 exons.
GUUACAGAAUACGUGACAUACAUCAUAGACAAGGCAGCCGACACUUUGAGACAGGAGUUGCCUAGUAACACAAAGAUCGUUACAGUGAGGCCAGCAGACGACAACAUAUCAUUGUCCUCCAGUAUCAUCAGCCAAAUUGCUGAUAUGGCUGUUACGGAGAGCCUGUCAAAUAUUGUGAUGGAUGCCGACAUUAACCACUCUGCUAUUAGAGCUCCUAGAACUAUCAAGGAAUUCAAAGAAGCAUUUGGCAUAACCGGAUAUGACAUCAUUGAUGACGGUCUUCCACCUGUAAGCGUGUAAGAGAUCAAGAAGAAGAAAGAAACAGCGUGUGUGUUUUUCUUUGUUUUGUUGUUGUUUUGCUGUUUUUUGGUUGUAUUUUGUGUGUGUUUUUGUUUUGUUUUCUUUCGUUCUUUUUUUGUAUGUCUUCUUGUUCUUUU